This 84-nucleotide ribosomal RNA is filed under the name Serratia inhibens. RNAcentral's name for it is "Serratia sp. S40 partial 16S ribosomal RNA". It matches the Rfam family "Bacterial small subunit ribosomal RNA", at positions 1453 to 1533 of the family's 1533-position model. Lineage: Bacteria; Pseudomonadati; Pseudomonadota; Gammaproteobacteria; Enterobacterales; Yersiniaceae. The record is from RNAcentral.
CUUACCACUUUGUGAUUCAUGACUGGGGUGAAGUCGUAACAAGGUAACCGUAGGGGAACCUGCGGUUGGAUCACCUCCUUACCU